GCCGGGCGCAGUGGCGGGCGUCUGUAGUCCCAGCUACUCGGGAGGCUGAGGCAGGAGAAUGGCAUGAACCCGGGAGGCGGAGCUUGCAGUGAGCUGAGAUCCGGCCACUGCACUCCAGCCUGGGCGACAGAGUGAGACUCUGUCUAAAAAAAAAAAAAAAAAAAAAAAGAAUCUUGCUCUGUUGCCCAGGUUGGAGUGCAAUGGCACGAUCUCAGCUCACUGCAACCUCCACCACCCUGGUUCAAGCACUUCUCCUGUCUCAG
Molecule: signal recognition particle RNA, 263 nt
Filed under: Papio anubis (olive baboon)
Lineage: Eukaryota; Metazoa; Chordata; Mammalia; Primates; Cercopithecidae
Description: Metazoan signal recognition particle RNA (ENSPANG00000047915.1)
Rfam family: Metazoan signal recognition particle RNA
About the family: The signal recognition particle (SRP) is a universally conserved ribonucleoprotein. It is involved in the co-translational targeting of proteins to membranes.
Source: RNAcentral